GGAGAGAUGGCCGAGCUGGCUGAAGGCGCUCGCCUGCUAAGCGAGUAAGUGGUAAAAGCUGCUUCGAGGGUUCGAAUCCCUCUCUCUCCGCCA
RNAcentral lists this transfer RNA (93 nucleotides) under Deltaproteobacteria bacterium. RNAcentral's name for it is "tRNA-Ser". It matches the Rfam family "tRNA". Rfam says of the family: Transfer RNA (tRNA) molecules are approximately 80 nucleotides in length. Their secondary structure includes four short double-helical elements and three loops (D, anti-codon, and T loops). RNAcentral also lists the same sequence under 1 other name. The record is from RNAcentral. Lineage: Bacteria; Pseudomonadati; Myxococcota; Myxococcia.